GCAUCUAUGGCAGAGUGGUCGAUUGCACCGCACUCAUAAUGCGGAUCUGUAUAGACGUCGUUGGUUCGAAUCCAACUGGAUGCU
RNAcentral lists this transfer RNA (84 nucleotides) under Prototheca moriformis. RNAcentral's name for it is "tRNA-Ile". It matches the Rfam family "tRNA". From Rfam's summary of the family: Transfer RNA (tRNA) molecules are approximately 80 nucleotides in length. Their secondary structure includes four short double-helical elements and three loops (D, anti-codon, and T loops). Lineage: Eukaryota; Viridiplantae; Chlorophyta; Trebouxiophyceae; Chlorellales; Chlorellaceae. The record is from RNAcentral. RNAcentral also lists the same sequence under 1 other name.